UUUGAAAUGUAAUUCCAAAUUGUUGGGUUACUUCAUUAAUUAUUACUGAAGUUAUUUAUUUUAUUUGUAAUACUUGUAGAUACGAUUUUUGGGUAUUUGCGCAUACAUGUAACGUUGCGCUCUUAUGAAUUGCUAUAUUUCCCGUUUUUAAAGUUUUAUGACGUUUAGCCUUUUACGUACGUUACGUUGUCUAUAGUUUUUAUUCAUUACAAAUUAUUUGAUUACGGAGACACAUCGUUAUUUAUAGAGAGAUCAUAAUCGAGAAUCGGUUGAUAUAAUAUAUGAGUAUAAGAAGCCAAAAUUAAGUGUAAUUUUGAGGAAUAAAAGAUACAUAUUUAUACCGCA
This is a long non-coding RNA of Mytilus trossulus (common blue mussel), 345 nucleotides long. RefSeq lists it as uncharacterized. The transcript is spliced from 2 exons. The record is from RefSeq and is a predicted model, not a curated record. NCBI's taxonomy places the organism in Eukaryota, Metazoa, Mollusca, Bivalvia, Mytilida, Mytilidae.